This 465-nucleotide ribosomal RNA is filed under the name uncultured bacterium. Its description in RNAcentral is "partial 16S ribosomal RNA". It matches the Rfam family "Bacterial small subunit ribosomal RNA", at positions 338 to 795 of the family's 1533-position model. The record is from RNAcentral.
CCUACGGGAGGCAGCAGUAGGGAAUCUUCCACAAUGGGCGAAAGCCUGAUGGAGCAACGCCGCGUGGGUGAAGAAGGUCUUCGGAUCGUAAAACCCUGUUGUUAGAGAAGAAAGUGCGUGAGAGUAACUGUUCACGUUUCGACGGUAUCUAACCAGAAAGCCACGGCUAACUACGUGCCAGCAGCCGCGGUAAUACGUAGGUGGCAAGCGUUAUCCGGAUUUAUUGGGCGUAAAGGGAACGCAGGCGGUCUUUUAAGUCUGAUGUGAAAGCCUUCGGCUUAACCGGAGUAGUGCAUUGGAAACUGGGAGACUUGAGUGCAGAAGAGGAGAGUGGAACUCCAUGUGUAGCGGUGAAAUGCGUAGAUAUAUGGAAGAACACCAGUGGCGAAAGCGGCUCUCUGAUCUGUAACUGACGCUGAGGUUCGAAAGCGUGGGUAGCAAACAGGAUUAGAUACCCGAGUAGUC